RNAcentral lists this ribosomal RNA (916 nucleotides) under uncultured bacterium. RNAcentral's name for it is "bacterial SSU rRNA". It matches the Rfam family "Bacterial small subunit ribosomal RNA", at positions 578 to 1504 of the family's 1533-position model. The record is from RNAcentral.
GGGAAUUAGGUCGGCGGUGAAAUUUCGGGGCUCAACCUCGACAGUGCCGUUGAAACCGUUUCUCUUGAGUGCGGAUGAGGUAGGCGGAAUUUGUGGUGUAGCGGUGAAAUGCGUAGAUAUCACAAGGAACACCGAUUGCGGAGGCAGUUUACUAAACCGUUACUGACGCUCAUGCACGAAGGCGUGGGGAUCAAACAGGAUUAGAUACCCUGGUAGUCCACGCAGUAAACGAUGAUUACUUGCUGUUUGCGAUACACAGUAAGCGGCGUAGCGAAAGCGUUAAGUAAUCCACCUGGGGAGUACGUUCGCAAGAAUGAAACUCAAAGGAAUUGACGGGGGCCCGCACAAGCGGAGGAACAUGUGGUUUAAUUCGAUGAUACGCGAGGAACCUUACCCGGGCUUGAAAUGCAUUCGACUGGGUCGGAAACGGCCUUUCCCUUCGGGGCGGAUGCGUAGGUGCUGCAUGGUUGUCGUCAGCUCGUGCCGUGAGGUGUCGGCUUAAGUGCCAUAACGAGCGCAACCCCUGUCGUCAGUUGCCAUCGGUAUAGGCCGGGGACUCUGGCGAGACUGCCAUCGUAAGAUGCGAGGAAGGUGGGGAUGACGUCAAAUCAGCACGGCCCUUAUGUCCGGGGCGACACACGUGUUACAAUGGGCGGUACAGCGGGAAGCUACCCGGCGACGGGGAGCCGAUCCCGAAAUCCGCUCACAGUUCGGAUCGGAGUCUGCAACUCGACUCCGUGAAGUCGGAUUCGCUAGUAAUCGCGCAUCAGCCACGGCGCGGUGAAUACGUUCCCGGGCCUCGUACACACCGCCCGUCAAGCCAUGGAAGUCGGGGGUACCUGAAGUUCGUAACCCUUCGGGGAGCGACCCAGGGUAAAACCGGUGACUGGGGCUAAGUCGUAACAAGGUAACCGUA